This 30-nucleotide non-coding RNA is filed under the name Mus musculus (house mouse). Lineage: Eukaryota; Metazoa; Chordata; Mammalia; Rodentia; Muridae. The record is from RNAcentral.
UAGAAUAAAUAACAUGAUGUCCCCCUAACC